UUUGGACAUCACAAAAAAAGCCCUAAGGACAAAACCGGCAUAAAAAAUAGUUUUAAAAUUAGGGUUUCAUCUCGUAUAUAGCCUCCUUGCCUCGACCUCCAACUCCGACUUUCAGAGACAACUCGCAGCCUCCAGCAAGAAACCAUCAAAAUGCCGAAGCAGAUCCAUGAGAUUAAGGAUUUCCUUCUAACCGCAAGAAGGAAGGAUGCCCGCAAUGUCAAAAUCAAGAGGACCAAGGAUGCUGUUAAGUUCAAGGUUCGGUGCUCCAAGUACCUUUACACACUUUGUGUGUUUGAUUCCGACAAGGCCAACAAGUUGAAGCAAUCUCUUCCUCCAGGUUUGAACGUUCAGGAUCCUUGAACCAGGAUUUUGGAGUGGCUUGUCGGCACAUUCUAGUGAAUGUAGCAAUGGAAUGAAAUUUGUACUUUGAAAGAUUUUUAUGGCCGGAUGAUGUUGGUGUUAGAUGUUAGAACUCCGAGAUGUUUGUGGUUAAUGUGUUUUGACUUGAGUUAAUUGUUUAGAUGUUUUGGUUAUGGAUCCAUCGGGUUUGUGUUUGCUUGA
Long non-coding RNA from Malus domestica (apple), 561 nucleotides. RefSeq lists it as uncharacterized. Lineage: Eukaryota; Viridiplantae; Streptophyta; Magnoliopsida; Rosales; Rosaceae. The record is from RefSeq and is a predicted model, not a curated record.